This 350-nucleotide ribosomal RNA is filed under the name uncultured bacterium. Its description in RNAcentral is "bacterial SSU rRNA". It matches the Rfam family "Bacterial small subunit ribosomal RNA", at positions 74 to 422 of the family's 1533-position model. The record is from RNAcentral.
GUGUAGCAAUACAUGCUGACGAGUGGCGCACGGGUGCGUAACGCGUAUGCAACCUACCUAAAACUGGGGAAUAGCCUUCUGAAAGGAAGAUUAACACCGCAUAACAUCAUGAAACGGCAUCGUUUUAUGAUCAAAUCUCCGGAGGUUUUAGAUGGGCAUGCGUGACAUUAGCUAGUUGGUGAGGUAACGGCUCACCAAGGCUACGAUGUCUAGGGGGUCUGAGAGGAUGAUCCCCCACACUGGUACUGAGACACGGACCAGACUCCUACGGGAGGCAGCAGUAAGGAAUAUUGGACAAUGGGCGCAAGCCUGAUCCAGCCAUGCCGCGUGAAGGAUGACGGCCCUCUGGG